RNAcentral lists this ribosomal RNA (303 nucleotides) under Russulaceae sp. RNAcentral describes it as "eukaryotic LSU rRNA". The record is from RNAcentral. Lineage: Eukaryota; Fungi; Basidiomycota; Agaricomycetes; Russulales; Russulaceae.
GUUCUUCUGGAGACAAAGGAGGCUUGGACUUUGGAGGCCUUUGCUGGCGUGUCUCUCGCCAGCUCCUCUUAAAUGAAUUAGCGGGGUCCUCUUUGCYGAUCCUCGACACGUGAUAAGAUGCUUCCGUGUCUCGGUUUCUGGCUCUGUUGCUUUUGGGACCCGCUUCUAACCGUCUGGACCUUGUGUCGAGACAAUGUUCGAGCUCGUCUCCCUUCUCGGGAAACGCCCUCGACCCCACGAACCCUUGGCCUCAAAUCGGGUGAGACUACCCGCUGAACUUAAGCAUAUCAAUAAGCGGAGGAA